GCCGGCGUGAUGGAAUUGGCAGACGUGACGGACUCAAAAUCCGUUGGUAGCAAUACCGUGUGGGUUCGACCCCCAUCGCCGGUACCA
RNAcentral lists this transfer RNA (87 nucleotides) under Ruminiclostridium sp. RNAcentral's name for it is "tRNA-Leu". It matches the Rfam family "tRNA". From Rfam's summary of the family: Transfer RNA (tRNA) molecules are approximately 80 nucleotides in length. The record is from RNAcentral. Lineage: Bacteria; Bacillati; Bacillota; Clostridia; Eubacteriales; Oscillospiraceae.